UCCAGCUCCUUCCCCCCUUGGCUUGCACCACACAGACACACCUUCCGCCGCCGCCGCCAGCGACUCCGGUCGUUUGCCAGCGAAAAAUUCCUCUCUUGUUUCUUUCUUUCCAUGGAUUCUCCCUGCUACAGAUGCAGAUGGAGACAUGUAGUCUCGUCCGUCCCUCUCGAUCUCGAGUAUCCGCUACAGUUCGUCGUCGUCCGGCCAGCAGCUUAAUUGCAAGAAGGGGCCGGCUGUGAAUCGAUGGUUCUUCAUGAAUCCUCCAUGUCGUGUUCAAGCUUGAUCCAGAUGAGCGUGUGAGGUGUUCUGCAGGCUGUUUUGUUAGCUGUCACCUCUCGGUCCCCAAAUUAAACAGCCGUUUCUGUUCCUUCUUUCCCAUUUCGUUCCUCAUGCAUGCCUAUGCUAAUCUUGAGUGAAAAAAUGGUAAUUAUUAGUUGAUACAAUAUAGCGCCUCCCGUGUUUUCCUGAUUUGAAAUGUCAAACUAAAACCAUACUAAUUUUCGAGGAUAAUUAGGAGCAUUUGUAUACAACUCUUUGCUAUGUUCACCGUGUCUUCCAUUUUCUGAAAACCCAUGUUUACCUUGCAGCUAGCUAGCACUGUAAUUGUUCUGACCAUCUUGUUCCUCACCAGCUCAUUCACAUGAAAAGGCUGUUACUACUUUCAAUUAGCUUUUCUUGUUUGGCUUUAUUUCUCUACUUUCCAUGGUUAUGGAAGUAUGUAGACGUUGAACUUGUAACGGCUGCUUUGCAGUUUGUAAUCUAGCCCUUUGCUGGGCUGGCGCUCUAGUCAUCUCGAAACGUAUGCGCUUUUUUUUUUAA
Molecule: long non-coding RNA, 819 nt
Organism: Brachypodium distachyon (stiff brome)
Lineage: Eukaryota; Viridiplantae; Streptophyta; Magnoliopsida; Poales; Poaceae
Exons: 2
Source: RefSeq, a predicted model, not a curated record